This 253-nucleotide ribosomal RNA is filed under the name uncultured bacterium. RNAcentral describes it as "partial 16S ribosomal RNA". It matches the Rfam family "Bacterial small subunit ribosomal RNA", at positions 524 to 776 of the family's 1533-position model. The record is from RNAcentral.
GACAGAGGUGCCAAGCGUUAGGCGGAAUCACUGGGCGUAAAGGGCGUGUAGGCGGUCAGGUAAGUGGGACGUGAAAUCCCUCGGCUCACCCGAGGACCUGCGUCCCAUACUGCUUGGCUUGAGUAUGGGAGAGGAUGAGGGAAUUCCUGGUGUAGCGGUGAAAUGCGUAGAUAUCAGGAGGAACACCGGUGGCGAAGGCGCUCAUCUGGCCCAAUACUGACGCUGAGGCGCGAAAGCUAGGGGAGCAAACGGG